This 567-nucleotide ribosomal RNA is filed under the name uncultured fungus. Its description in RNAcentral is "eukaryotic LSU rRNA". It matches the Rfam family "Eukaryotic large subunit ribosomal RNA", at positions 71 to 655 of the family's 3401-position model. The record is from RNAcentral. Lineage: Eukaryota; Fungi.
GGGAUUGCCUCAGUAACGGCGAGUGAAGCGGCAACAGCUCAAAUUUGAAAUCUGGCCUUGGCCCGAGUUGUAAUUUGUAGAGGAUGCUUUUGGUGCGGUGCCUUCCGAGUUCCCUGGAACGGGACGCCUUAGAGGGUGAGAGCCCCGUACGGUUGGACGCCUAGCCUCUGUAAAGCUCCUUCGACGAGUCGAGUAGUUUGGGAAUGCUGCUCAAAAUGGGAGGUAAAUUUCUUCUAAAGCUAAAUACCGGCCAGAGACCGAUAGCGCACAAGUAGAGUGAUCGAAAGAUGAAGAGCACUUUGGAAAGAGAGUUAAAUAGUACGUGAAAUUGUUGAAAGGGAAGCGCUUGCAAUCAGACUUGCGCUGCGUCGAUCAACCUGGGUUCUCCCUGGUGCACUCGGCGCAGCUCAGGCCAGCAUCAGUUUCGGCGGUUGGAUAAAGGCUUGGAGAACGUGAGUUGCUUCGGCGACUGUUAUAGCUCCAGGUGCAAUGCAGCCAGCUGGGACUGAGGACCGCGCUUUUCGCGAAGCUAGGAUGCUGGCGUAAUGGUUGUAAGCGACCCGUCUG